Molecule: long non-coding RNA, 426 nt
Filed under: Hordeum vulgare
Lineage: Eukaryota; Viridiplantae; Streptophyta; Magnoliopsida; Poales; Poaceae
Description: long non-coding RNA (HVUL_LNC015250)
Source: RNAcentral
CCCUUCCGCCAUCAAGUCGGCAAUGAUGACGACGGCGACUGACGUGGACAACAAGGGCGAGUCCAUCCUCAACGCAUCCUUGACGCCGGCCGGGCCCUUUGCCUACGGCGCCGGCCACGUGUGGCCAAGCCGCGCCAUGAACCCCGGCCUCGUCUACGACCUCGGCCCCGACCACUACCUCGACUUCCUUUGCGCGCUCAAGUACAACGCCACAGUUCUGUCCAUGUUCAACGGCGAGCCGUACAAGUGCCCCGAGAAGGCUCCCAAGAUCCAGGACCUCAACUACCCGUCCAUCACCGUCGUCAACCUCACGGCCUCCGGCGCAACGGUGAAGCGAACGGUGAAGAACGUUGGUUUUCCGGGCAAGUACAAGGCGGUCGUGCGCCAGCCGGCUGGCGUGCACGUGGCGGUGAGCCCUGAAGUGAU